RNAcentral lists this long non-coding RNA (1074 nucleotides) under Lathyrus oleraceus (garden pea). RNAcentral's name for it is "Pisum sativum (pea) long non-coding RNA (PSAT_LNC037431)". The record is from RNAcentral. Lineage: Eukaryota; Viridiplantae; Streptophyta; Magnoliopsida; Fabales; Fabaceae.
ACUCACAACUCAUUCACUCUCUCACAUUACUAAUUCUCUCACCACUCUCAAAAAUCCAAAAAAAAAAGAAGAAAAAUCUCUCGUCUCUCUCUGCAAAACCCAGGGAAAGAGAAGAAAAAUCUCUCAUCCUCUCAUUCACUAUUCACGCCAUCUCAAUCUCUUCACCUUUCUCUCCGCCACCCAUUCAACAACUAAACCCCCAAACCGCUCACUCCGCCGUUCAUUUCAUCUUCAAAACUCGCCGUCUCUCUCAAUCGCCGCCGCUUUCGCCGCCGUGCCUUCAUCAUCUUCAUCGCAACACAACCACCGCCCUUAAACAAACCCCAUCACUCCUCACCGAAACAACCACCACCAUCAAAACCCUCACCGACGGAUUAAUCCGCCGUUACCCUUCAAUCGAUCUCUACCAACCUAUCCAAGCAUCUCUCUGUUUCAACCAAUUGACUCGCAACCAACCUGUUGCGAGUUAUCGCGGCUGGUUGUUGUUUAUAUUUAAACUGGUUACAAAUUGUUUUUUUAUUUUGCAGAACGAAAUCACGAUUUCAGUAUCAAAGAGUCUAAGAAGAGAAAAUCGAAGUGGAGAUAUCCGAUUUGGGACCGAAGUUGUGGAUUUCAGCGGCACCAAUUCGACAAUGUUUACGGUAAUGACGUUUGAAUUCCAUGAUUGAGUUGUUGAGAUCGUUAGUUAAAUGUUUAAUUUUCUGCGAACCUAGACUCGGGAUGUUGUUGCUAUUUCAUGUUGUGGCCAUGGAUACUGUUAUAAGAUCAUAAAUGUUAUACUCUUGGGAUGUUCCUGUCUUAAAAUUCUGGUUUUAUUGUUUUUAUAUAAAGACUGCUCUUGUCUUAAAGUUCUGGGUUUAUGUUGAUGUUAACAUUGAUUUUUUCUUCCAUUUGGAUCUUUGAUUUUCAGUGUGGUCAUAUUAUUUUGUGCUUCAAACUGGGAUUAUCAUGUAGAAAUUUGAGUAAAUACUUGAUAUUCAUUUUCAUGCCUAUGAAAGUUUUGUUUAUUAUUACUAUGUACAGGUUAUAGAAUAUUGGUUAUUAUUGCAAGUAAAUGUUGAGAUAUUGAGAACA